This 1374-nucleotide ribosomal RNA is filed under the name Streptococcus thermophilus. RNAcentral's name for it is "bacterial SSU rRNA". It matches the Rfam family "Bacterial small subunit ribosomal RNA", at positions 72 to 1433 of the family's 1533-position model. Lineage: Bacteria; Bacillati; Bacillota; Bacilli; Lactobacillales; Streptococcaceae. The record is from RNAcentral.
AGAGGAGCUUGCUCUUCUUGGAUGAGUUGCGAACGGGUGAGUAACGCGUAGGUAACCUGCCUUGUAGCGGGGGAUAACUAUUGGAAACGAUAGCUAAUACCGCAUAACAAUGGAUGACACAUGUCAUUUAUUUGAAAGGGGCAAUUGUUCCACUACAAGAUGGACCUGCGUUGUAUUAGCUAGUAGGUGAGGUAAUGGCUCACCUAGGCGACGAUACAUAGCCGACCUGAGAGGGUGAUCGGCCACACUGGGACUGAGACACGGCCCAGACUCCUACGGGAGGCAGCAGUAGGGAAUCUUCGGCAAUGGGGGCAACCCUGACCGAGCAACGCCGCGUGAGUGAAGAAGGUUUUCGGAUCGUAAAGCUCUGUUGUAAGUCAAGAACGGGUGUGAGAGUGGAAAGUUCACACUGUGACGGUAGCUUACCAGAAAGGGACGGCUAACUACGUGCCAGCAGCCGCGGUAAUACGUAGGUCCCGAGCGUUGUCCGGAUUUAUUGGGCGUAAAGCGAGCGCAGGCGGUUUGAUAAGUCUGAAGUUAAAGGCUGUGGCUCAACCAUAGUUCGCUUUGGAAACUGUCAAACUUGAGUGCAGAAGGGGAGAGUGGAAUUCCAUGUGUAGCGGUGAAAUGCGUAGAUAUAUGGAGGAACACCGGUGGCGAAAGCGGCUCUCUGGUCUGUAACUGACGCUGAGGCUCGAAAGCGUGGGGAGCGAACAGGAUUAGAUACCCUGGUAGUCCACGCCGUAAACGAUGAGUGCUAGGUGUUGGAUCCUUUCCGGGAUUCAGUGCCGCAGCUAACGCAUUAAGCACUCCGCCUGGGGAGUACGACCGCAAGGUUGAAACUCAAAGGAAUUGACGGGGGCCCGCACAAGCGGUGGAGCAUGUGGUUUAAUUCGAAGCAACGCGAAGAACCUUACCAGGUCUUGACAUCCCGAUGCUAUUUCUAGAGAUAGAAAGUUACUUCGGUACAUCGGUGACAGGUGGUGCAUGGUUGUCGUCAGCUCGUGUCGUGAGAUGUUGGGUUAAGUCCCGCAACGAGCGCAACCCCUAUUGUUAGUUGCCAUCAUUCAGUUGGGCACUCUAGCGAGACUGCCGGUAAUAAACCGGAGGAAGGUGGGGAUGACGUCAAAUCAUCAUGCCCCUUAUGACCUGGGCUACACACGUGCUACAAUGGUUGGUACAACGAGUUGCGAGUCGGUGACGGCGAGCUAAUCUCUUAAAGCCAAUCUCAGUUCGGAUUGUAGGCUGCAACUCGCCUACAUGAAGUCGGAAUCGCUAGUAAUCGCGGAUCAGCACGCCGCGGUGAAUACGUUCCCGGGCCUUGUACACACCGCCCGUCACACCACGAGAGUUUGUAACACCCGAAGUCGGUGA